This 254-nucleotide ribosomal RNA is filed under the name uncultured bacterium. Its description in RNAcentral is "partial 16S ribosomal RNA". It matches the Rfam family "Bacterial small subunit ribosomal RNA", at positions 524 to 776 of the family's 1533-position model. The record is from RNAcentral.
UACGGGGGGAGCAAGCGUUGUUCGGAUUUACUGGGCGUAAAGGGCGCGUAGGCGGUCAGCACAAGUCAGUUGUGAAAUCUCCGGGCUUAACUCGGAAAGGUCAACUGAUACUGUGCGACUAGAGUGCAGAAGGGGCAACUGGAAUUCUCGGUGUAGCGGUGAAAUGCGUAGAUAUCGAGAGGAACACCUGCGGCGAAGGCGGAUCUCUGGGCCAUUACUGACGCUGAGGAGCGAAAGCGUGGGGAGCGAACAGG